Molecule: long non-coding RNA, 570 nt
Organism: Bufo gargarizans (Asiatic toad)
Lineage: Eukaryota; Metazoa; Chordata; Amphibia; Anura; Bufonidae
Exons: 3
Source: RefSeq, a predicted model, not a curated record
GGAAGAGCCUGGGGCUGGGAGGGGGGAGGAAGGGGCGGAGCUACCGCCCUCUGCACAGAGCCGGCAGCCAGAAGCUCCAGCGAUCCUGCAGCAGCACAGAUACGGGAGCCCAAGAACCGUCACGGCGUGGUGUGGGUAGACAACUCCACACCGAACACAAGAGGAAAGGAAAAAGGAACUAGGCCAGGAACCUAGAAAAGGGGAAAAGUCACCACUUAGCGAAUCCCUAAACUGAGCUCUGACUUCUAUCAGUAUGAACAGACCUUGAAGGGGGUCAUGGCUCAUGGAGUUGACUGUUUUUCAGGAAGCGCAAUAAGAACAUUUACAGAGCUACAGACCCGGGUAUUGUUCUACCACUGUGCUUGGAACAGUACUAGUGUAAUCUUGAAUUGUCAUGCGUUACCUUGUUCCUAAACAUGGGCUUGACUCAUUUGUUUUUUUUUUACCAUGAAAUCAAAAACAGUCUUCAAUGGCUUUUAAAAGGUAUGCUUCCUCCUUCUGUAAUUUCAAUAAACACAUCCACAUCUUUUAACAAUUUAAAGGGAGUCUGUCAACGUUUUUUGCAAUAUU